CAAAAGCUAAGAUUGAGUUUACUCAAAACUGAAGCUUUUACUAGUAUAAUUUUAAAUUAAGAGGUUUUAAAACCCUUUUUAGUCAAAAUCUUAUUUUCUUUGUGUCUUUUCUUGUAUUUCUGUGGCUCGAGUUUGGGGUUUGGAAGCAAAAGAGGGCUCCAAGUUCAAUUCUUGAUUCGGCCGUGCAUACAAAAGCCUGCGGCCCAAUAGGAAUUUUUUUUUUCCCGAAGAUAUCGAGUCCGCAAAGAUGGAAUUAAAUAGCUAGCGCGCAUAAGGCCUAGCCAUGGGUGAAAAUGGCCAACUAGGGGCUUGGUACGCCCCUAGUGUUCCUCUAUCCUUUAUUUUGUUCCAUCUUCUUUAUUUGAGCCUUGCUUGUAUUUGUACAAAACUUGUAAAAACUCAUAUUACACUAGUGGAAUCUUUAUGUUUAUGAACUA
Molecule: long non-coding RNA, 437 nt
Organism: Lycium barbarum (goji berry)
Lineage: Eukaryota; Viridiplantae; Streptophyta; Magnoliopsida; Solanales; Solanaceae
Exons: 2
Source: RefSeq, a predicted model, not a curated record